Girardinichthys multiradiatus is the source of this 515-nucleotide long non-coding RNA. RefSeq lists it as uncharacterized. The transcript is spliced from 3 exons. NCBI's taxonomy places the organism in Eukaryota, Metazoa, Chordata, Actinopteri, Cyprinodontiformes, Goodeidae. The record is from RefSeq and is a predicted model, not a curated record.
AGGACAAAGUUCGGAAGAAGUUAGAGGAACUUGGUUGCCGCGAGAGGGGCGGGACCAGAGGAGACAGACGCAAGUAGUCAUGACGAGUUCUGAGCUGAGCUAAGUGAGCUAGCCGCUUCGGGCUCACGGGUUCGGCUGCGUUUAAUGGAGGUCGGGGAGUGGACGAGUGAAUUACAAGGCUCUCAAUGUUUUCCUAUGGGGUUUCAACUCCUAUUCAUCUAACAGGCCUGCAACGUUUUCACACUCUCCUGGAGGCCAAUUGUGAUGAAGCGAGGAUGAACGUUUUUUUCCUCAGGAAAGCCUCUAAACAGUUGGUGAUUGGCGUUGAAUACAAAGUGACAGUCAGUGAUCCUCAUGAAUGCCGAAGUACCUUAUUGACUGAGAAACAGGUCUUGUUAGCAGUAACAGAAAUAUAAGCAUUUAAACCAUGUAUUUAUGCAGACUGCAUUGGCCAGGCUUCUUGACGGUAAAAAUAAGUGUUUUUAAGAGUGUGUCUGUGUGUGUAUCAGUUUGGA